CGUAGGUGGCAAGCGUUACUCGGAAUCACUAGGCGUAAAGCGCAGGUAGGCGGUUAGAUAAGUUUCUUGUGAAAGCUCCCGGCUUAACUGGGAGAGGCCAAGGAAUACUGUCUGACUCGAGUGCAGGAGAGGUAAGUGGAAUUCCUAGUGUAGCGGUGAAAUGCGUAGAUAUUAGGAGGAACACCAGUGGCGAAGGCGACUUACUGGACUGUAACUGACGCUGAGGCGCGAAAGCGUGGGGAGCAAACAGGAUUAGAUACCCUGGUAGUCCACGCUGUAAACGAUGGAUACUAGGUGUGGGAGGUAUCGACCCCUUCCGUGCCGCAGUAAACGCAAUAAGUAUCCCGCCUGGGGAGUACGGCCGCAAGGUUG
This 372-nucleotide ribosomal RNA is filed under the name uncultured organism. Its description in RNAcentral is "bacterial SSU rRNA". It matches the Rfam family "Bacterial small subunit ribosomal RNA", at positions 526 to 896 of the family's 1533-position model. The record is from RNAcentral.